AGAAUCAACGCUGGCGGCGUGCCUCAGACAUGCAAGUCGAACGCGAAAGCUUUCUUCGGAGAGCAAGUAGAGUGGCGCACGGGUGAGUAACACGUGGGUAAUUUACCUUUGGGUGGGGAAUAACAGCCGGAAACGGCUGCUGAUACCGCAUAAUGCAGCGGCAUCUUAAUGAUGACAGUUGUUAAAGCGAGGGAUCGCAAGACCUGCGCCAGAAGAAAAGCCCGCGGCAGAUUAGCUAGUUGGUGAGGUAAUGGCUCACCAAGGCGACGAUCUGUA
RNAcentral lists this ribosomal RNA (276 nucleotides) under uncultured soil bacterium. RNAcentral describes it as "partial 16S ribosomal RNA". It matches the Rfam family "Bacterial small subunit ribosomal RNA", at positions 26 to 285 of the family's 1533-position model. The record is from RNAcentral.